Molecule: ribosomal RNA, 440 nt
Filed under: uncultured bacterium
Lineage: Bacteria
Description: partial 16S ribosomal RNA
Rfam family: Bacterial small subunit ribosomal RNA
Source: RNAcentral
CCUACGGGAGGCAGCAGUGGGGAAUAUUGCACAAUGGGGGAAACCCUGAUGCAGCGACGCCGCGUGAGUGAAGAAGUAUUUCGGUAUGUAAAGCUCUAUCAGCAGGGAAGAAAAUGACGGUACCUGAUUAAGAAGCCCCGGCUAACUACGUGCCAGCAGCCGCGGUAAGACGUAGGGGGCAAGCGUUAUCCGGAUUUACUGGGUGUAAAGGGAGCGUAGACGGCAGCACAAGUCUGGAGUGAAAUGCCGGGGCUUAACCCCGGAACUGCUUUUGAAACUGUGCAGCUAGAGUGCAGGAGAGGUAAGUGGAAUUCCUAGUGUAGCGGUGAAAUGCGUAGAUAUUAGGAGGAACACCAGUGGCGAAGGCGGCUUACUGGACUGUGACUGACGUUGAGGCUCGAAAGCGUGGGGAGCAAACAGGAUUAGAUACCCGGGUAGUC